AGUGAACGCUGGCGGUAGGCCUAACACAUGCAAGUCGAACGGCAGCACAGUAAGAGCUUGCUCUUACGGGUGGCGAGUGGCGGACGGGUGAGGAAUACAUCGGAAUCUACUUUUUCGUGGGGGAUAACGUAGGGAAACUUACGCUAAUACCGCAUACGACCUACGGGUGAAAGCAGGGGAUCUUCGGACCUUGCGCGAUUGAAUGAGCCGAUGUCGGAUUAGCUAGUUGGCGGGGUAAAGGCCAACCAAGGCGACGAUCCGUAGCUGGUCUGAGAGGAUGAUCAGCCACACUGGAACUGAGACACGGUCCAGACUCCUACGGGAGGCAGCAGUGGGGAAUAUUGGACAAUGGGCGCAAGCCUGAUCCAGCCAUACCGCGUGGGUGAAGAAGGCCUUCGGGUUGUAAAGCCCUUUUGUUGGGAAAGAAAAGCAGCAGGUUAAUACCCCGCUGUUCUGACGGUACCCAAAGAAUAAGUACCGGCUAACUUCGUG
RNAcentral lists this ribosomal RNA (492 nucleotides) under uncultured bacterium. RNAcentral describes it as "partial 16S ribosomal RNA". It matches the Rfam family "Bacterial small subunit ribosomal RNA", at positions 29 to 507 of the family's 1533-position model. The record is from RNAcentral.